This 1570-nucleotide long non-coding RNA is filed under the name Pogona vitticeps (central bearded dragon). Its description in RNAcentral is "lncRNA (ENSPVIG00000007368.1)". Lineage: Eukaryota; Metazoa; Chordata; Lepidosauria; Squamata; Agamidae. The record is from RNAcentral.
UUUGCACAACCCCAUAAGCAGGGUGGUUGCCAAGGGCGUUGCUGCUACAUUUGACAUGGCGGAUGAAAACAGUUUCCUGUUCUGACCUCAUGUUUUAUCUCCACUUCCGCUUUGCUCUCUCAUUUAAGCCAAGAGAGGGGGAAAAAAAGAACAACAUCUAUUUUUUUCUACCCAAGAUGAAGAUUGCCGUAAUGUUGCUUGUUUUCAUAAGAGGAAUUGCAGGUGCCACUUUCUUUCUUAAUUAUGAAGCCAAAAACCAGACGCUGAUCUGCAAGGCAUCAAGCCAUCCAGGCGGGACAGCCUGGUGGUUUGGAGAUCACUCUACGCAGAAAUUCAAAAUGUCUAAGGGUGCCGUUUCAACGUGUCCAACAGAGCAGCAGGGAGGUGACCCAUGCUAUACCGAAGGAAAGGAACUCAAUUCUGCUUUUCCUCACGGUCAAAUUGUUGCGUGCAAAUCCCAUGAAAAAAACAAGACGUCUGGGCCCCCGAUAUUUACUAACAAGGAGGACUGCAGGGAAUUUGAUUUCUUCAUUCUAGCAAAAAUGAACCGAACCGAACAGAAACGUCUGCAGGUCAAAGGAAAAAAUUUCAGUCUCCCCUGUGAAUUUCAACUGCAGGAAAACGUAGCAAACUUUGCUGUUUACUGGCUCAAAGAAACGGACCAGACUACUUGCCUACAUUCAGUUUCAAAUGAAGACCAUCACGAUAUUCGUAGCUUUUCCUAUAACAUAAACUGCUGUGUUGAUGCCAAUAUGGAAAACAGAACACUCAGUGAUUCAAAAAUCAUAGACUCAGAAGGACGACACCAAAAUCAUGAGCUUACAAUUGUUGAUGUCAUCCCCUCUGACACCGGGAUAUAUCUGUGUGUGCUCACCAUGUUUGCGAAGCCACAAAACUGGAGGAUUGUGACUAACAUGUCCGUAGAAGUGGAGGAUCCUUCAUCAUCUACUGUGCUGAAAGUUUCUUUGGGAAUCGUGGGAGGUGUGGUUCUGAUCAGCGGGAUUGGGCUGCUUUUUUACUGCAAGAAUCGAAAGGCAACAGCCUCUGAACAGCAUCAAAGGGAUUACACAAUAGCUGAAAGAGAAGUUGAUGACUGCACGCCUUAUGCCAUAUGCAGUCGUAAUGUCAUAGAUGGAAAUCAAGCCAUAUAUUCACUCGUCAUGAAACCGGGGGUGAAUUCAAACAUAGCGUCGUCUCUACCGGAUGACAAACCGGCUUAUGGAACAUGAUGCGGAGAAAAUUUUGAAGCACUCUAUAGUGUUGGGAAUCAGGAUCGAUCUUGAUGACUGCAGUGGGUGGAAUGACCACCUCUGCGUUUGAGUUUCUGCUACAAAGCUGACCUAGACAACCUGCACAGCCCUGGAGUCAACCUAGACAAUGACAAGGUCUGUGGAAUUUCAGACGUAACCGAAGUCUGAAUUUCCGAGCGGAUCUCUAUGGGUUGCGUAUAAGAUUGGUUUGUUUUGUAAUUGGUCAAGGAGAAGUAAACAUGGGCAUUACAUGAGGAUAUGCCCAGCCUUUUCCAACCCAAUCCCCAUCCUUGAAUAAAAAACUCAUUAAUACGGACCCA